Molecule: long non-coding RNA, 730 nt
Organism: Mustela lutreola (European mink)
Lineage: Eukaryota; Metazoa; Chordata; Mammalia; Carnivora; Mustelidae
Exons: 3
Source: RefSeq, a predicted model, not a curated record
GGGACUGUUGAUUCCUGUAUCUCUUUUUAGCACAGCAGGAAAUCGUUCCCAGAAGCGUCCAGGAGACUUCCCUCACAUCAUACUUCACUGGCCCAGCUGCCGAUGAACACACACAGUACACACAGAUCUACAGAUCUACAUCUCUGCCUCAUUUCUAAGCCAUUGUAUCCAAUGCUUUACAUGUGCCACACUUCAUCCUCUGACCUCCUGAUCAACAGUCGGGGUUCUGUGACGCUGCAAUCAACGUUCUUGGAGAGACCUCGUGGAUUGAACGCCGGUUUCUCUCAGCAAUCAUGCAAAACUCUUGACAGGAAAAGAGAAAUGUACACUGCCAAAUGCAUCUCGACUGCAAGUCAUCAGUUUUAAUGGUAAUUCCAAGUGUCUGACAAAAACUCUGCCAAACAUAUUAGAACUCAGUAUGUCAGCAAACGGCAAAAAUUCGCAUUAUAGUCACCUUUCUUUUUCUCCCCAUCACUGAAUUUCUGUGGUCAUAGUUUGGUCAGCCUCAUAAAAAAGAGCUGAGAACAUUUUCAAGCCUCAUUCUGAAGAGAGGCAUGGUAGAUAGCUAGUGGUAGACACUGCUCUAGUUCAAAAUCAUUUAUACUAACCACUGCCAAGGGGGAGAGGAAGAAAGGAGAAAAAGGGGUUGAAAUUUUCGAAAAGUUAAUGAAAAGACAAUAUGUUACCCAUUCAGCUAUUUGCCUACUUUGUGUCCAGAACAGUAACUAGC